RNAcentral lists this unclassified non-coding RNA (294 nucleotides) under Hevea brasiliensis (rubber tree). Lineage: Eukaryota; Viridiplantae; Streptophyta; Magnoliopsida; Malpighiales; Euphorbiaceae. The record is from RNAcentral.
UUAAAAAUUCUUUGAGGGAUGAUUAGGAAGAUCAAGGAUUUUUUACAGUUUGAAGAUCUGUUGUCGAUGAUGGAUGAUUAUAUAUUAUGCCGAUGAUACAAAGUGUAACUAUACGAGCAAAUGGAGGCUAGUGUCCAACAACUAUAUGCUGUUAGCUUCUUUGGACAUUUGUUGAGGUUAAUCUGAACUCACCAAGUAUUUAUUAUGUCUUUUUUGUGUAAGUUUGUACUAUUAAUUGCUAGAAACUGAUGGAAAAACCUUGUAAUAAGAAUAAGUCUAAUGCCACAAUCAAAU